Molecule: ribosomal RNA, 253 nt
Filed under: uncultured bacterium
Lineage: Bacteria
Description: partial 16S ribosomal RNA
Rfam family: Bacterial small subunit ribosomal RNA
Source: RNAcentral
UACAGAGGUCCCAAGCGUUGUUCGGAUUCACUGGGCGUAAAGGGUGCGUAGGUGGUGGGGUAAGUUUGAUGUGAAAGCUCCGAGCUUAACUCGGAAAUGGCAUUGAAUACUAUCCUGCUUGAGGUUUGGAGGGGGGACUGGAAUUCUCGGUGUAGCAGUGAAAUGCGUAGAUAUCGAGAGGAACACCAGUGGCGAAGGCGAGUCCCUGGACAACACCUGACACUGAGGCACGAAAGCUAGGGGAGCAAACAGG